UAGGGAAUCUUCGGCAAUGGACGAAAGUCUGACCGAGCAACGCCGCGUGAGUGAAGAAGGUUUUCGGUUCGUAAAACUCUGUUGUUAGAGAAGAACAAGGACGUUAGUAACUGAACGUCCCCUGACGGUAUCUAACCAGAAAGCCACGGCUAACUACGUGCCAGCAGCCGCGGUAAUACGUAGGUGGCAAGCGUUGUCCGGAUUUAUUGGGCGUAAAGCGAGCGCAGGCGGUUUCUUAAGUCUGAUGUGAAAGCCCCCGGCUCAACCGGGGAAGGUCAUUGGAAACUGGGGGACUUGAGUGCAGAAGAGGAGGGUGGAAUUCCAUGUGUAGCGGUGAAAUGCGUAGAUAUAUGGAGGAACACCAGUGGCGAAGGCGGCUCUCUGGUCUGUAACUGACGCUGAGGCUCGAAAGCGUGGGGAGCAAACAGG
This 429-nucleotide ribosomal RNA is filed under the name Gemmatimonadota bacterium. RNAcentral's name for it is "Gemmatimonadetes bacterium partial 16S ribosomal RNA". It matches the Rfam family "Bacterial small subunit ribosomal RNA", at positions 355 to 776 of the family's 1533-position model. The record is from RNAcentral. Lineage: Bacteria; Pseudomonadati; Gemmatimonadota.